RNAcentral lists this unclassified non-coding RNA (202 nucleotides) under Hevea brasiliensis (rubber tree). The record is from RNAcentral. Lineage: Eukaryota; Viridiplantae; Streptophyta; Magnoliopsida; Malpighiales; Euphorbiaceae.
GGAACAUUAGAUUAUUUCCCAAUUUAUAAAUAUGCAGGGGAAAUUAUUUCAGAGGUUUCAUCUUAUUAUUUUGUUUGUUUGUACAAGAACAUGUUCCUGUGUUGAACUUACUAGACAGUUCUUCUGAACUAUAAACAGUCGAUAGUAGCUUGCAUCUAAUUUUAUGGUUGUCUCAUUUUUUUUUUGGGCAAUAAUUUAUUUC